RNAcentral lists this ribosomal RNA (250 nucleotides) under uncultured bacterium. RNAcentral describes it as "partial 16S ribosomal RNA". It matches the Rfam family "Bacterial small subunit ribosomal RNA", at positions 355 to 622 of the family's 1533-position model. The record is from RNAcentral.
UGGGGAAUCUUGCGCAAUGGGCGAAAGCCUGACGCAGCAACGCCGCGUGGGGGAUGAAGGCUCUCGGGUUGUAAACCCCUUUCAGCAGGGACGAAAUUGACGGUACCUGCAGAAGAAGCCCCGGCUAACUACGUGCCAGCAGCCGCGGUAACACGUAGGGGGCAAGCGUUGUCCGGAUUUAUUGGGCGUAAAGAGCUCGUAGGUGGCUAAGUAAGUCGGGUGUCAAAUCCCCAGGCUCAACCUGGGUCUC